UUGUGGUUUUAACAGCAGUACCCAUAUACAUUGCAUCACAACUAAAACCAGCCUGCGAACGAAAUAUCAAAAUCUCAACUCUCUCUCACUUUCUCUCUCUAGAAAAUCACGGAUGGUACCCAAGGCAGAGAAGAAACCAUCGCCGGAGACUAGAAGAAGAAGAAGAGGUCGAAGAAGAGCAUCCAGACCGCCGUCAGCCUUUUGCUUCCCAGUGAAUUGGCCAAGCACGCCGUGUCUGAGGGCACAAAGCCGGUGACCGAGUCUACCAGCUCUUCAAGGUUAUCAAUUGCUUCUAUCUCUGCCUAUCUAGGGUUAGGGUUUUAGAAUUAGUUUACUAUUAGGAUUUAGAAUUGAAUUUCUCAAGUUUCAUUUCUGUAGAGCUUAUGGUUUAAGUAGGAUUGAGUUCAUCAAUUUACCACCUAAAGACAAUUUUAAGUGAAUAUACUACGCAGUAUUUAUUGCCCUGUGAAUUUAGAUGAUAAUCAGUGUGCUUUUCAUCUCUUAUUUAUUUAUUUAUUUUGACAUUUAGGCAUGUCAGUGUUGCAAUUUGAUUUACUUGGUAAUUAAAUGGGUAACAUCUUUAGUUUUACAAAAUCCAAUUUCUCUUAAAAUAUUUACAAACUAAAUAAUUUUGGGUCUUCCUUAUUCCUCCUAUAUAUACAAAAAGGUUAAUAUAAUUUUUAAUUAAAAUACAGUAACACUCUCUCAAACCCAUUUCAGACUUCAGAAAUGCAACCCCUCCUAUCUCUAUAUAUACACGUACAGUUAGCUUCACCCUCUCUCUACAUGGCAUGAUAAGCAAAACCCAGUUCGGACCUUCUUGAAUUUCAAUCUUUGCUGACCAAGCAUCUGAAUCCAUCGUCCGCAUUCCUUCUUUUGUCCCUUUAGUGCUCUGUUUUUGUAUUAAAAAAAAAAAAAAAAAUCUAUCUUGGAUUGCUAGUUUAGAGCUCUGUUCUUGUUUUGUAAAGUUGAUUGCUCUCUGAAAAUUCUUGGUGAUUCGGAGCUCUAUUAUUGUUUGUGUUUGAUUGAUCCAAGUUGCAAGGAUGGGAAGGGUCUUUCUUAUUCAAUACGAUCUAACUCCAGACUCAGAGUUCUUUCUCUGUCGUUUUUGCCAAGCCCACAUUGCUCGCCUGGACAAGAUAAACAGUGAAGCCAUUUUCCUAAGCAAUUAGCUUUUGUGGCAACUAUGUGUGCGAUAUAGGGCCAAUGUUCUAAUUGAUGGCCCAGAACGUUACCGAAUUGAAGAGGCUGACGUAGUAGCCAAUGUUCACUGUACUGGAUGCAAUGCCCUUCUGGGCAUAAAAUAUAUUGAAGUGCAAAACAACGAUGGACUUGUCGAAGCUGAAAGUUUUAAACUGCAUUUGAACAAUCUCCUUUGGUGGGAUGGAAAUGUGUUCCACAGCUACCCCAACCAGAUUCAAGCACACAGAUUGGUUACUGCACAUGAUGACGGGAUAUGAAAUAUUAGAGAGGAUACAAAUCCAAUUGAAGAAGGGCUUUAUUGAAGUUCAUUGAAUAUGACAUGACAUACUCUAUAUUUGUCCAAUUUCUUUUUUCUUGGAAGUGAGAUGUGAAAAAUUCUUGUUGUGGAUAGAAUAGCAUGGGAUUGAACUGUACAGUCCGAAACUCCGAAUUGAAACAAAUGGGUUAAGGAUUUUAAAUCCGAAGGAAGUUACAUAAUUCAAAUGCAUACAUCUUCGUUGCUCUGUAAUUUACUUAUCGCAGCAGGUUGGGCAGGGAAGGCCUUUUUUUCAGCUUGUGUUGUCUUAAAUUUCUGUUAAUAUUGCUUUAUGAAGAAGAAAAGGUUCGAUUCAAGUUACGUUUCA
RNA transcript from Cornus florida, 1826 nucleotides. RefSeq lists it as uncharacterized. The transcript is spliced from 5 exons. Lineage: Eukaryota; Viridiplantae; Streptophyta; Magnoliopsida; Cornales; Cornaceae. The record is from RefSeq and is a predicted model, not a curated record.